AGAGCUUCCUGGUAUUUCAAGGUGCCAGGAUCUAUUUUUGUCAUCACCAGCCAGGAAGGAUACAAGGCCUCUUCCAAGAUGAAGACGAAACUAUUGACAGAUAUUUUGUCAAGACCAAAUUUUCCCUAAGGGCCCUGUCAUAGAUUGUUCCCUGGGCAGGAUGCAGCCUCCUUCAGAGAGUGAAGAACACACCAAAAGAUCCUCUACUAAAUUAAUCAUAAGCCACAUGAGGCAGGCUGGAAUACAGUUACCAAUCUGCUUUAAUUCUCCCACUUAGAUGGCCUGAAGCCGCCUGAACUGAAAGUUGGAUGAAGCUCGGCUUUGAGUUUCAUCGCGGGGCAUCGUGUGGCCUAAGUCCUUAGCCAAUGCCUGCCAAAUAUUAGCUUGAGUCGCAAUAAAGAGAAAAGGUCCAAAUUCUCCCCUUGACUAAUGAUUUAUUCAUCAAACCAACAUGUCUCAAACCUGUAAUUCUAGUUUUGUUUUCUGAAAAGAUGUCAUUCUAUUUGAAAGAGAAACAGCUGUAGGGAAGGAGAAUAAGAACUUUCAUGGAACACACAGCAUGUGUCGCGCACUCAGCAUGUAAAGUCACGUGGCCCUUACUACAGCCCUGGGGAGGUGAGCAGUGGCUCUGCUUCACAUACAAGCACCCUGACACUCCAGGAAAUCGGUCGUCACCCAGCACCCUCUAACUAGGGAAGGAUGGAAUCCGAUUUGAACUCAGGUGUGCUUUUUUUCUCCAGGAAGCAUACUUUUCUUUGCCAUCUUCAGUGAUGAGAGUAACAGAGACAGAAAGAUAAAAGGAGUUGACUGCUCACGAGGCUGUUGCUGGACUUUUUAGGACAGUCACUGGAAGAUUCUAGUGUGUCUUCUGAAUUGCUGACCAUAAUUCAUUCUCUUCCCUCUUUUGCCUGGUUUGUUAUUUGAUCCCAAGACUGUGCUAUAAGUUUUGGGUUGAUAAAAGAGAGCUAAGAGUCCAUGAAGCGCUCACACCUCCCGUCGAAUACCUGAUUCCUACAAUGCCUGCUUCAAACAUAAUGGAGAAAAUAUUUGCAAGAAAGUUGCAUGCAAUGAUUAAACUGCAUUCCAAAUAUAAUUUUCCUCUUGUGCCAGAGGAGAUUAAUUCACAUGGACUCAAAAGAGCCUUGGGGACAGGUUUUUGGAAAACCAGACCCUGGCAUUCCGGAUGCUAAAAUGCUGUCAGUAAUACUAAGAGUGCUUAGGUCUCCUGCCUCCUCAGCCCUCUGGAAAGAGCCCCAGGGUUAUUCGAGUUGGGAUCAAAUAAAGGGGGUCAUUAUGAUAAAAAGUGGGUGACACCCCCAUUCCUCACCUAGAGAACUUACUUAGCCUUCCCAUACACCUUCUUCAGUAAAAAUCUCCCUUCAACUUAGAUUUCAAUGUGAAGAUUUUGGUUCCACCUUGACUGAAUACUGGAAUAGUUUUUGUUGCAGACUGGGAGCCAACAGUUUACCUUCAGAGUGAGAAUAUGUAUGGGUUCCUUAAAAACAUGCAGUAUGGCCGGGCACCAUGGCUCAUGCCUGUAAUCUCAGGACUUUGAGAGGCCAAGGUGGGCGGAUCACUUGAGGUAAGAAGCUUGAGACCAGACGCCAACAUGGUGAAACCUGGUUUCUAUUAAAAAUACAAAAAUUAGCCUGGCGCAGUGGCGGGUGCCUGUAAUCCCAGCUACUCGGGGGGCUGAGGCAGGAGAAUAACUUGAACCUGGGAGGCAGAGGUUGCAGUGAGCUGAGAUCGAGCCACUGCACUCCAGCCUGGGCAACAGAGCAAGACUCCGUCUCAAAAAAAAAAAACAACAACAUACAAAAAUGCCUUUGGGAUUCAGCGUAAUCUGCAGGUUAUAAAAGCAACUGCAAGGAUGAUAGGAGCUUUUUUCACCACAGCCUAGGAUGCCUUUGAGAAAACCGACAAAUUUGAAAACAUGAUAAAG
Molecule: long non-coding RNA, 1942 nt
Filed under: Homo sapiens (human)
Lineage: Eukaryota; Metazoa; Chordata; Mammalia; Primates; Hominidae
Description: HSALNT0090135
Source: RNAcentral